UACGAAGGGGGCUAGCGUUGUUCGGAAUUACUGGGCGUAAAGCGCACGCAGGCGGCGUGUUUAGUUAGAAGUGAAAGCCCUGGGCUCAACCCGGGAAUUGCUUUUAAUACUGGCACGCUAGAAAUCAGGAGAGGGUAGCGGAAUUCCCAGUGUAGAGGUGAAAUUCGUAGAUAUUGGGAAGAACACCGGUGGCGAAGGCGGCUAACCUGGCCUGACAUUGACGCUCAUGUGCGAAAGCGUGGGGAGCAAACAGG
RNAcentral lists this ribosomal RNA (254 nucleotides) under uncultured bacterium. RNAcentral's name for it is "partial 16S ribosomal RNA". It matches the Rfam family "Bacterial small subunit ribosomal RNA", at positions 524 to 776 of the family's 1533-position model. The record is from RNAcentral.